Molecule: transfer RNA, 75 nt
Filed under: Actinobacteria bacterium RBG_16_70_17
Lineage: Bacteria; Bacillati; Actinomycetota
Description: tRNA-Lys
Rfam family: tRNA
About the family: Transfer RNA (tRNA) molecules are approximately 80 nucleotides in length.
Source: RNAcentral
GGGUCGCUAGCUCAAUUUCGGCAGAGCAACGGACUCUUAAUCCGCAGGUUCAGGGUUCAAGUCCCUGGCGACCCA